RNAcentral lists this ribosomal RNA (486 nucleotides) under uncultured bacterium. RNAcentral describes it as "partial 16S ribosomal RNA". It matches the Rfam family "Bacterial small subunit ribosomal RNA", at positions 30 to 507 of the family's 1533-position model. The record is from RNAcentral.
AUUGAACGCUGGCGGCAUGCCUUACACAUGCAAGUCGAACGGCAGCACGGGUGCUUGCACCUGGUGGCGAGUGGCGAACGGGUGAGUAAUACAUCGGAACAUGUCCUGUAGUGGGGGAUAGCCCGGCGAAAGCCGGAUUAAUACCGCAUACGAUCUACGGAUGAAAGCGGGGGACCUUCGGGCCUCGCGCUAUAGGGUUGGCCGAUGGCUGAUUAGCUAGUUGGUGGGGUAAAGGCCUACCAAGGCGACGAUCAGUAGCUGGUCUGAGAGGACGACCAGCCACACUGGGACUGAGACACGGCCCAGACUCCUACGGGAGGCAGCAGUGGGGAAUUUUGGACAAUGGGCGAAAGCCUGAUCCAGCAAUGCCGCGUGUGUGAAGAAGGCCUUCGGGUUGUAAAGCACUUUUGUCCGGAAAGAAAUCCUUGGCUCUAAUGCAGUCGGGGGAUGACGGUACCGGAAGAAUAAGCACCGGCUAACUACGUG